RNAcentral lists this long non-coding RNA (253 nucleotides) under Elaeis guineensis (African oil palm). Its description in RNAcentral is "long non-coding RNA (EGUI_LNC007913)". The record is from RNAcentral. Lineage: Eukaryota; Viridiplantae; Streptophyta; Magnoliopsida; Arecales; Arecaceae.
GCAAUGUGAUUGUAAACAUUAUCAUCUACCCAUUAGCGUAUAUACCCACAUACUUGUCUAUUUAGCAUAUUCCAAUCAUCAUCAGAUUUAUCUUUAGAUUUAACUGAAUCACCCAAUAAUGGUAAGUGAUAACUCUUGCAAAGAAGAUCUUCCAUCUUUCUUUUCCAUAGGUUAUAAUUUAUCUUAUUUAAACUAACCAUUCUACUUGCAUUGAUCUCCAUCUCUACACACAAGACAAUUAACAAGAUAACAC